GAUGAAGAACGUAGCGAAAUGCGAUAAGUAAUGUGAAUUGCAGAAUUCAGUGAAUCAUCGAAUCUUUGAACGCACAUUGCGCCCGCCAGUAUUCUGGCGGGCAUGCCUGUCUGAGCCUCAUUUCAACCCUCAUGCCCCUAGGGCGUGGUGUUGGGGAUCGGCCAAAGCCCGCGAGGGACGGCCGGCCCCUAAAUCUAGUGGCGGACCCGUCGUGGCCUCCUCUGCGAAGUAGUGAUAUUCCGCAUCGGAGAGCGAUGAGCCCCUGCCGUUAAACCCCCAACUUUCCAAGGUUGACCUCAGAUCAGGUAGGAAUACCCGCUGAACUUAAGCAUAUCAAUAAGCGGAGGA
This 348-nucleotide unclassified non-coding RNA is filed under the name soil metagenome. RNAcentral describes it as "partial contains 5.8S ribosomal RNA, internal transcribed spacer 2, and large subunit ribosomal RNA". The stretch from base 1 to 120 matches the Rfam family "5.8S ribosomal RNA", at positions 35 to 154 of the family's 154-position model. The record is from RNAcentral.